Molecule: long non-coding RNA, 309 nt
Organism: Gadus chalcogrammus (walleye pollock)
Lineage: Eukaryota; Metazoa; Chordata; Actinopteri; Gadiformes; Gadidae
Exons: 2
Source: RefSeq, a predicted model, not a curated record
GUUGGAUUGCGUGGGCUGAACAAUCCGGACAUCGUGGCCACCGACGUUGACCCCCCGCCACCGGGACCCACGCACACCGACCACCACACUGGGAAGUGUCCUCUGCUCACUGUGGAAGCAGCAUGGAAGAACUGCAGCAACUCUGAUGGAAACGAGGACCUCCACGCUGUUGAACACAAACUGUUGUAGGCCUACUCAAACCGAGGCGGUCCCACUCGGUUAAAGAUCUCGUGGUCAAUGCGGCAGACCGCUGGACCUGGACGUCACCUUCUGCAGAUACUUCACUGCCCUCAGGAAUCCACGGAUAAC